AAGUCGUAACAAGGUUUCCGUAGGUGAACCUGCGGAAGGAUCAUUAAAGAUUUGGCGAAAGCCUACUUUAUUCCAUACACCUGUGCAUCUGUGGUCUUCGGACCUUACAAACAUUUGUGUAAUGAACGUCAUAUAUUAUAACAUAAUAAAA
This 151-nucleotide unclassified non-coding RNA is filed under the name plant metagenome. RNAcentral's name for it is "partial contains small subunit ribosomal RNA and internal transcribed spacer 1". The stretch from base 1 to 46 matches the Rfam family "Eukaryotic small subunit ribosomal RNA", at positions 1786 to 1831 of the family's 1831-position model. The record is from RNAcentral.